RNAcentral lists this ribosomal RNA (380 nucleotides) under uncultured bacterium. RNAcentral describes it as "bacterial SSU rRNA". It matches the Rfam family "Bacterial small subunit ribosomal RNA", at positions 29 to 400 of the family's 1533-position model. The record is from RNAcentral.
AACGAACGCUGGCGGCGCGCCUAAUACAUGCAAGUCGAGCGAGAAGACGUAGCAAUACGUUUGUAAAGCGGCGAACGGGUGAGGAAUACAUGGGUAACCUACCCUAGAGUGGGGAAUAACUAGCCGAAAGGUUAGCUAAUACCGCGUACGCUCCUUGGACUUCGGUUCAGGGAGGAAAGCGAUACCGUGGGUAUCGCGCUCUUGGAUGGGCUCAUGUCCUAUCAGCUUGNGGUGAGGUAACGGCUCACCAAGGCUUCGACGGGUAGCUGGUCUGAGAGGACGAUCAGCCACACUGGCACUGCGACACGGGCCAGACUCCUACGGGAGGCAGCAGUAAGGAAUAUUGCGCAAUGGGCGAAAGCCUGACGCAGCGACGCCGC